GGGGACCUACGGGAGGCAGCAGUGGGGAAUAUUGCACAAUGGGGGAAACCCUGAUGCAGCAACGCCGCGUGAAGGAAGACGGUUUUCGGAUUGUAAACUUCUUUUCUUAGUGAAGAAGCAAGUGACGGUAGCUAAGGAAUAAGCAUCGGCUAACUACGUGUCAGCAGCCGCGGUAAUACGUAGGAAGCGAGCGUUAUCCGGAAUUACUGGGUGUAAAGGGAGCGCAGGCGGGACUGCAAGUUGGAUGUGGAAUACCGCAGCUUAACUG
RNAcentral lists this ribosomal RNA (268 nucleotides) under uncultured bacterium. Its description in RNAcentral is "partial 16S ribosomal RNA". It matches the Rfam family "Bacterial small subunit ribosomal RNA", at positions 333 to 615 of the family's 1533-position model. The record is from RNAcentral.